This 619-nucleotide long non-coding RNA is filed under the name Canis lupus dingo (dingo). Its description in RNAcentral is "lncRNA (ENSCAFG00020006558.1)". Lineage: Eukaryota; Metazoa; Chordata; Mammalia; Carnivora; Canidae. The record is from RNAcentral.
CCUCUCCCUUCCUUUCCGUCCCUCUCCCCCUCUCCCUCCCUCCUCCCUCUCUCUCCCCCUCUCCCUCUCUUUCCCCAUCUCUCCUCCCCUCUCUCCCUCUCCUUCUCUCCUUCUCUCCCUCUCUCCCUCCCCCCUCCCUCCCCCCUCACUCAGUGACUCCGUCUGACCUGGGGACUCCCGGGGGAAGAAAGAACCCCCGGAUAGGAGCGGAGUUCCGACCCGGUUCGGGCCUGCAAGGGGGCUGGGACCCGAGAAGAGGGGGCUACGGGCCCUUGCGUCGCGGGGAGAGAGAGAACCGAGAGACCCCCGUGAACUCCCAAGGCGACCCGGCGAGUGGGGAAGCCAGAGCCCAGCAGGUGGGUCUUCUGACCACGUGGAUGCUCCGUCCACACCUGGUGACUCGGUGCCCUCCGAGUCCCCACACCUCUCCGCGGCGCCUUCCCGAGUAGAACUGCAUCUCUUACGCCCCCCGCCCCAAGUUCAGGUGCCCCAAGCCUUCUGGGCUGUGACAGGCACCGCUCAGCGCCCUGUGAUGGUCCUUCCCGUGCUCACGCACAGCACCCAAGGUGCUGGCCGCCCAGACCUUAUUCCCUUUGCUGGGAGGAAACUGAAUUACUGA